This 641-nucleotide ribosomal RNA is filed under the name Calonarius napus. RNAcentral's name for it is "eukaryotic LSU rRNA". It matches the Rfam family "Eukaryotic large subunit ribosomal RNA", at positions 1 to 632 of the family's 3401-position model. Lineage: Eukaryota; Fungi; Basidiomycota; Agaricomycetes; Agaricales; Cortinariaceae. The record is from RNAcentral.
UGACCUCAAAUCAGGUAGGACUACCCGCUGAACUUAAGCAUAUCAAUAAGCGGAGGAAAAGAAACUAACAAGGAUUCCCCUAGUAACUGCGAGUGAAGCGGGAAAAGCUCAAAUUUAAAAUCUGGCAGUCUUUGGCUGUCCGAGUUGUAAUCUAGAGAAGCAUUAUCCGCGCUGGACUGUGUACAAGUCUCCUGGAAUGGAGCAUCAUAGAGGGUGAGAAUCCCGUCUUUGACACAGACUACCAGGGCUUUGUGAUGUGCUCUCAAAGAGUCGAGUUGUUUGGGAAUGCAGCUCAAAAUGGGUGGUAAAUUCCAUCUAAAGCUAAAUAUUGGCGAGAGACCGAUAGCGAACAAGUACCGUGAGGGAAAGAUGAAAAGAACUUUGGAAAGAGAGUUAAACAGUACGUGAAAUUGCUGAAAGGGAAACGCUUGAAGUCAGUCGCAUUGUCCAGGGAUCAACUCUUGCUUUUGCUUGGUGUACUUCCUGGUUAAUGGGUCAGCAUCAAUUUUGACCAUUGGAAAAAGAUUAAGGGAAUGUGGCAUCUUUAGAUGUGUUAUAGCCCUUGGUUGCAUACAUUGGUUGGGAUUGAGGAACUCAGCACGCCGCAAGGCCGAGUUUUUUAACUACGUACGUGCUUAGGA